RNAcentral lists this ribosomal RNA (392 nucleotides) under uncultured bacterium. RNAcentral's name for it is "bacterial SSU rRNA". It matches the Rfam family "Bacterial small subunit ribosomal RNA", at positions 28 to 424 of the family's 1533-position model. The record is from RNAcentral.
GACGAACGCUGGCGGCGUGCUUAACACAUGCAAGUCGAGCGGUAAGGCCCUUUCGGGGGUACACGAGCGGCGAACGGGUGAGUAACACGUGGGUGACCUGCCCUUAGCUCUGGGAUAAGCCUGGGAAACUGGGUCUAAUACCGGAUAUGACCUCAUGACUCAUGUUGUGGGGUGGAAAGCCUUGUGCGGCUAGGGAUGGGCCCGCGGCCUAUCAGCUUGUUGGUGGGGUAAUUGCCUACCAAGGCGACGACGGGUAGCCGGCCUGAGAGGGCGACCGGCCACACUGGGACUGAGACACGGCCCAGACUCCUACGGGAGGCAGCAGUGGGAAUCUUGCGCAAUGGGCGAAAGCCUGACGCAGCGACGCCGCGUGAGGGAUGACGGCCUCGGUU